AUAUUAUUAAGCGGAGGAAAAGAAACUAACUAGGAUUCCCUUAGUAAUGGCGAAUGAACAGGGAAGAGCUCAAUGCCCAAUCGUAUAUCGCAAGACUUACGACAUGUGGUUUUGGUGGUUGGCCAGUGGUCGGUCUGGGGAAAGUCCCUUGGAAAAGGGCGCCAAGGAGGGUGAUAGCCCCGUUCAUCCCUAGAUUCGUGCUACGUACGGUCGCUGCUGAAGGAGUCGCGUUCCUUGGGAUAGGAGCGCAAAUGGGUGGUAAGUUCCAUCCAAAGCUAAAUAUGACCAUGAGACCGAUAGCGCACAAGUA
This 310-nucleotide ribosomal RNA is filed under the name uncultured eukaryote. RNAcentral describes it as "partial large subunit ribosomal RNA". It matches the Rfam family "Eukaryotic large subunit ribosomal RNA", at positions 40 to 350 of the family's 3401-position model. The record is from RNAcentral.